This is a non-coding RNA of Pelobates cultripes (western spadefoot toad), 263 nucleotides long. NCBI's taxonomy places the organism in Eukaryota, Metazoa, Chordata, Amphibia, Anura, Pelobatidae. The record is from the annotation of a GenBank genome assembly.
CAGCAAUCAAAGGGUUAAAGGGACACUAGAGGCACCAGACAAGACUUUGUGUUUUAGCUGACAGUAAGUGUAUGAGUUAUCAUUGACCUUGACCUACCAACAGCACAGCACUCCUAAAAACACAGAGAAAAUGAUGAAAAUCAUACUUUUAUCAGGAUUCCAUGAUAACCUCUCUAAAACUGAACUCCUUGUCUUUCCUCCUCCUAAUACCGAUCCUCCUCUCUCGCUCUCCCUUCAAGUCAGUGAUAUCCACAUAAGUCCAU